Molecule: ribosomal RNA, 107 nt
Organism: Mesocricetus auratus (golden hamster)
Lineage: Eukaryota; Metazoa; Chordata; Mammalia; Rodentia; Cricetidae
Source: Ensembl
GUCUACGGCCAUACCACCCUGAACGCGCCCAAUCUCGUCUGAUCUCGGAAGCUAAGCUGGGUCGGCCUGGUUAGUACUUGGAUGGGAGAAAGCUGAAAUUCUAGAAA